AGAGUUUGAUCAUGGCUCAGAGUGAACGCUGGCGGCAGGCCUAAUACAUGCAAGUCGAACGGCAGCACAGCAGAGCUUGCUCUGUGGGUGGCGAGUGGCGGACGGGUGAGGAAUACGUGGGAAUCUGCCCAGUCGUGGGGGAUAACGUAGGGAAACUUACGCUAAUACCGCAUGCGCCCUUCGGGGGGAAAGCCGGGGGACCUUCGGGCCUGGCGCGAUUGGAUGAGCCCACGUCGGAUUAGCUAGUUGGCGGGGUAAAGGCCCACCAAGGCGACGAUCCGUAGCUGGUCUGAGAGGAUGAUCAGCCACACUGGAACUGAGACACGGUCCAGACUCCUACGGGAGGCAGCAGUAGGGAAUAUUGGACAAUGGGCGCAAGCCUGAUCCAGCCAUGCCGCGUGAGUGAAGAAGGCCCUCGGGUUGUAAAGCUCUUUUGUCCGGAAAGAAAAGCGCCGGGUUAAUACCCUGGUGUCCUGACGGUACCGGAAGAAUAAGCACCGGCUAACUUCGUG
RNAcentral lists this ribosomal RNA (512 nucleotides) under uncultured bacterium. Its description in RNAcentral is "bacterial SSU rRNA". It matches the Rfam family "Bacterial small subunit ribosomal RNA", at positions 8 to 507 of the family's 1533-position model. The record is from RNAcentral.